UCCUGGCUAUAAAUUAAAUUAAAUUUACCAGAGUACUAUGAAUACUAUAAAAUUUAAAACUCAAAGGACUUGGCGGUGUUUUAGACCACUCAGGGGAACCUGUCCCGUAAUCGAUAAUCCACGUUACACCUAACCCACUUUUGCUUUCAGCUUGUAUACCGUUGUCGUCAGGUAACUUUUUAGAAUUCAGAAGUUAGCUAAAAAUAAUAAGUUUAAACGUCAAAUCAAGGUGCAGCUAACAAGGGGGCGAGGAUGGGUUACAAUUAUUUAAUUAUAACUACGAAAAAUCAUAAGAAUAAGCGAUUAAGAAGGAGGACUUGAAAGUAAAUUAAAUUAUAGAAAUAACUUGAAUAAGGCUCUGAAAUGCGCACACAUCGCCCGUCGCUCUUGUUGGAAAAUAAGAUAAGUCGUAACAUAGUAGGGGUAAUGGAAAUUGUCCCUAAACU
RNAcentral lists this ribosomal RNA (446 nucleotides) under Polystira oxytropis. RNAcentral describes it as "partial small subunit ribosomal RNA". Lineage: Eukaryota; Metazoa; Mollusca; Gastropoda; Neogastropoda; Turridae. The record is from RNAcentral.